Molecule: long non-coding RNA, 325 nt
Organism: Pipra filicauda (Wire-tailed manakin)
Lineage: Eukaryota; Metazoa; Chordata; Aves; Passeriformes; Pipridae
Exons: 4
Source: RefSeq, a predicted model, not a curated record
AGCCUUGUAGGUAUCCCAGAAGAUGACAGCCACAGUGUCUGACUCUGGUCAGGACCUUGGUGCCGUUGACUCGGAGUAAUGUCCUGACCGCAGGAACCACCUCACGAUGGGGCGACUGACUCAGAUUGGUCGUCUUGAGCUGUCCUUGUCUGCAAUCUCCGAGUUUUAAAAGGAUGAGCAGCAAGGCACAGAACUUUAGUGAUGGCAGGUGCCAUCCGGGUAACUUUUGGAAGCGUCCAGGCAUUGGAGGAGAAGAGCCUAGAGAACUAAAAUCAGGAGAAGAGCCUAACUACACAAGUAAAUUUUCAUACCACUCAGCAAUUAC